UACGGAGGGUGCAAGCGUUAUCCGGAUUCACUGGGUUUAAAGGGUGCGUAGGUGGGCAGGUAAGUCAGUGGUGAAAUCUCCGGGCUUAACCCGGAAACUGCCAUUGAUACUAUCUGUCUUGAAUACCGUGGAGGUGAGCGGAAUAUGUCAUGUAGCGGUGAAAUGCUUAGAUAUGACAUAGAACACCAAUUGCGAAGGCAGCUCACUACGCGAAUAUUGACGCUGAGGCACGAAAGCGUGGGGAUCAAACAGG
Molecule: ribosomal RNA, 253 nt
Filed under: uncultured bacterium
Lineage: Bacteria
Description: partial 16S ribosomal RNA
Rfam family: Bacterial small subunit ribosomal RNA
Source: RNAcentral